UCAGAACUCUCAGGUUAGAGAAGAGAAGACGGGCCCUGCUGCGUGCAUCACACGGGAGAGACGCAGGUCUGCUUUGGGUAAAGCCUCAGGCUCUUGAGGAAGGAAGCCAGGAAGGUGUAUCAGCAAAGCCCCCGAAGAUUCUGGGCCUGUGAUGAGGACCACAGAGGGGACCCGGCACCAGAACUCUGACUUUAGCCUCCUAGGGAGCUCACCAGCUUGUCACCUGGAGAAACUGGCAAAAGACAGCAGCCUCCACAGUGCGUUCCUUAUGGCCUGGACAGCUGGCAGAGGCCCUGGGGCACUUUCCUGAUGUCUGGGAACAAAAUGGGUACACGAGUGUUCCAGAGGUUCCUGUGAAGACCUGCAACUGGGCAGAAGUACAUCAAAGGCCUCUCAAGACGAUCGAUUGGACAGGAAGUCUCAAAAGGCAUCUUUUUUUUUUUUUACUGAAAAGUGGUGGACGCUCUGCUGAAGGAUGAGAGUUCUUUCAAGAGAAAAAUAGGCUCAUGUCGUUGUAUUUGCUGAAGGGUUGGCCCUUCAGGAGACGUGAUGCUUACCACUCCCUCUCAAGUCCGAGCCCCAGUGUCUCCCCACAACGAUCUCCAAAGCCUCUACCUGCUCUCUCCGGUGCCCACCCUCCCAUCACAUUCUCCACACAGCUGCCAGAGCCAUCUUUUUAUUUUGGCUGUACCAUGAGGCUUGUGGGAUCUCAGUUCCCCGACCAGGGAUUGAACCCUGGCCACAGCAGUGAAAGCCCAGAAUCCUCAAAUGAAAAGGAAAAUGAAACCAUGCUCCCUCCACAGCUGAAAAUUCUCUAACAGCACUUGAUAUCAUUUUAUGAACAUAAAUGAAUAAACAAAGCCCAGGGAUCAGCAGAGAUGUUCUGGAAUGGACCACAAAAAGCCCAGGAAUCCUGUCUGCCUUGUUUACUCUGCAUCCUGCACCUAGUACAGUGUCUGGCACCUGGAAGGCAUGCAAGAAAAUAUUUGUUGACUGACUCAGUGACUGAAUGAAAGAGCUCAAAGCGUUUUACGUAUGAGGUCUGAUCCUAGUUGAAAUUCUCUGCUUGUCCAUCAUAGAACCUUAAAAGUGACUUGGAACCCAGCUUGGAUAACCGAAUCAGCUUUAGCUAAUGGACUUAAAUCAAUUUAGGCAAAAGCCAAUCUGUCAACAGAAGAAUUUGGACCAAAUGAGAUUUGGUAGAACAUUUUGCUACUAUAUCAUGGAAAGAUUUCUCAGUUCUUUAUCUUUUAUCCAUUUGGUCUGUUUUUCCAAAAUGUUUGCUUUUUACUUUCUACUUCUUAGAUUUUAAUGAACUUUUGGCUGAUUCUCUAGGGAAACAUAAUUUAAACAUCCAACAAUAAAAAUUUUAUUGAGAAAAUCAGA
Molecule: long non-coding RNA, 1386 nt
Organism: Aethalodelphis obliquidens (Pacific white-sided dolphin)
Lineage: Eukaryota; Metazoa; Chordata; Mammalia; Artiodactyla; Delphinidae
Exons: 2
Source: RefSeq, a predicted model, not a curated record